This 2414-nucleotide ribosomal RNA is filed under the name human gut metagenome. RNAcentral's name for it is "bacterial LSU rRNA". It matches the Rfam family "Bacterial large subunit ribosomal RNA", at positions 1 to 2437 of the family's 2925-position model. The record is from RNAcentral.
GAAAGUAAGCAAGGGCGCAUGGCGGAUGCCUUGGCUCUCGGAGGCGAUGAAGGACGUGAUAAGCUGCGAUAAGCUUCGGGCAGGUGCAAAUAACCUUUGAUCCGAAGAUUUCCGAAUGGGACAACCCGGCAUUCUGAAGGAAUGUCAUCCAUCCUAGAUGGAAGCUAACGCAGGGAACUGAAACAUCUUAGUACCUGUAGGAAAAGAAAAUAAUAAUGAUUCCCCUAGUAGUGGCGAGCGAACGGGGAUUAGCCCAAACCAAUGUUGUUACGGCAAUAUUGGGGUUGUAGGACCACGAUGUCGCAAGAAAUUUAGUGAGAAGAACCCUUUGGAAAAUGGGACCAUAGACGGUGAUAGUCCGGUAUUCGAAGCUAAAUGAAGCGUAGUGGUAUCCUGAGUAGCGCGGGACACGAGGAAUCUUGCGUGAAUCUGCCGGGACCAUCCGGUAAGGCUAAAUACUCCCGAGAGACCGAUAGCGAACCAGUACCGUGAGGGAAAGGUGAAAAGCACUUCGAACAGAAGAGUGAAAUAGUUCCUGAAACCGUGCGCCUACAAGCGGUCGGAGCUCGUUAAUGAGUGACGGCGUGCCUUUUGCAUAAUGAACCUACGAGUUGCCUUUGCCGGCAAGGUUAAGUGUGACGACACACGUAUCCGAAGCGAAAGCGAGUCUGAACAGGGCGUAUAGUCGGCAGUGGCAGACGCGAAACCAAGUGAUCUACCCUUGGCCAGGUUGAAGGCUGGGUAACACCAGCUGGAGGACCGCACCAAUAAGCGUUGAAAAGCUUCUGGAUGAGCUGAGGGUAGGGGUGAAAGGCUAAUCAAACUUGGAGAUAGCUCGUACUCCCCGAAAUGCAUUUAGGUGCAGCCUUGCGGGUUACUGAUGUGAGGUAGAGCGACUGAUAAGAUGCGAGGGCUUCACCGCCUAUCAAGUCUUGACAAACUCCGAAUGCGCAUCAGUUCUACCGCAGGAGUGAGGGCAUGGGUGCUAAGGUCCGUGCCCGAGAGGAGAAGAAUCCGGACCACCUGCUAAGGUCCCGAAAUGACAGCUAAGUUAAACUAACGAAGUCUGACUGCUAAGACAGCUAGGAUGUUGGCUUGGAAGCAGCCAUUCAUUUAAAGAGUGCGUAACAGCUCACUAGUCGAGGAGUCGGGCGUGGAUAAUAAUCGGGUAUCAAGUUGUCUACCGAAGCAGUGGGAUCAUUGAUAUGAUCGGUAGGGGAGCAUUCCAGUCGGCGUCGAAGGCGUACCGUGAGGUAUUCUGGAGCGUCUGGAAAAGCAAAUGUAGGUAUAAGUAACGAUAAAGGGGGCGGGAAACCCCCUCGCCGAAAGACUAAGGUUUCCUGAUCAACGCUAAUCGGAUCAGGGUCAGUCGGGUCCUAAGGCUCAGCCGAACGGCGAUGCCGAUGGCAGAAACGGUUAAUAUUCCGUUACUACCUUCAGGAGUGACGUGGAGACGCAGUAGUGACAGUGCCGCCAUCUGACGGAAUAGAUGGUUGAAGGGUGUAGGAGUCGAUCAUGGCAGGCAAAUCCACCAUGAGAUCCGAACCUGAUAGUAUGCCGCGUCCUUCGGGACAAGGCAAUAGUGCGCGUAAGCAUGCUGCCGAGAAAAUCCGCUAAACUUAAUCCUGCAGGUACCCGUACCGCAAACGGACACACGUAGUCGGGAUGAAUAUUCUAAGGCGCUUGAGUGAUUCACGGUUAAGGAACUAGGCAAACUGACCCUGUAACUUCGGGAUAAAGGGUCCCUACCCUUUUAUGGGAGGGCGCAGAGAAUCGGUCCAGGCAACUGUUUAACAAAAACACAGGGCUGUGCCAAAUCGAAAGAUCCAGUAUACAGCCUGACACCUGCCCGGUGCUGGAAGGUUAAGAGGAGAUGUCAUCGAUAAGAGAAGCGUUGAAUUGAAGCCCCAGUAAACGGCGGCCGUAACUAUAACGGUCCUAAGGUAGCGAAAUUCCUUGUCGGGUAAGUUCCGACCUGCACGAAUGGUGUAAUGAUCUGGACGCUGUCUCAACCGUGAGCUCAGUGAAAUUGUAGUAUCGGUGAAGAUGCCGAUUACCCGCGAUGGGACGAAAAGACCCCGUGAACCUUUACUAUAGCUUAUCAUUGAAUCUGGGCACGUGAUGUGUAGGAUAGGUCGGAGGCUUUGAAGCAGGUACGCCAGUAUUUGUGGAGCCGCUGUUGAAAUACGACCCUUUAUUUGUUUGGAUUCUAACCCGUGGAACGGGGACAUUGAUUGGUGGGUAGUUUGACUGGGGUGGUCGCCUCCAAAAGCGUAACGGAGGCUUCUAAAGGUGCCCUCCGGCCGAUUGGUAACCGGCCUUAGAGUGUAAUGGCAUAAGGGCGCUUGACUGGGAGACUGACAAGUCGAUCAGGUAGGAAACUAGAGCAUAGUGAUCCGGUGUUUCCGUAUGGA